UACGAAGGGGGCUAGCGUUGCUCGGAAUCACUGGGCGUAAAGCGCACGUAGGCGGCUUCUUAAGUCAGGGGUGAAAUCCUGGAGCUCAACUCCAGAACUGCCUUUGAUACUGAGGAGCUUGAGUCCGGGAGAGGUGAGUGGAACUGCGAGUGUAGAGGUGAAAUUCGUAGAUAUUCGCAAGAACACCGGUGGCGAAGGCGGCCAACUGGUCCGGAUCUGACGCUGAGGCGCGAAAGCGUGGGGAGCAAACAGG
RNAcentral lists this ribosomal RNA (253 nucleotides) under uncultured bacterium. Its description in RNAcentral is "partial 16S ribosomal RNA". It matches the Rfam family "Bacterial small subunit ribosomal RNA", at positions 524 to 776 of the family's 1533-position model. The record is from RNAcentral.